RNAcentral lists this ribosomal RNA (253 nucleotides) under uncultured bacterium. RNAcentral's name for it is "partial 16S ribosomal RNA". It matches the Rfam family "Bacterial small subunit ribosomal RNA", at positions 524 to 776 of the family's 1533-position model. The record is from RNAcentral.
UACGUAGGGGGCAAGCGUUGUCCGGAUUUAUUGGGCGUAAAGAGCGUGUAGGCGGCCAAGCAGGUCAGCUGUGAAAACUCGAGGCUCAACCUCGAGACGUCGGUUGAAACCGCUUGGCUAGAGUCCGGGAGAGGAGAGUGGAAUUCCUGGUGUAGCGGUGAAAUGCGCAGAUAUCAGGAAGAACACCCGUGGCGAAAGCGGCUCUCUGGAACGGUACUGACGCUGAGACGCGAAAGCGUGGGGAGCGAACAGG